Thamnophis elegans (Western terrestrial garter snake) is the source of this 1129-nucleotide long non-coding RNA. RefSeq lists it as uncharacterized. NCBI's taxonomy places the organism in Eukaryota, Metazoa, Chordata, Lepidosauria, Squamata, Natricidae. The record is from RefSeq and is a predicted model, not a curated record. The transcript has 3 exons.
GUUCCCACCCCUGCCGUAGAGCAAGCCGGCUAGAAAAAAAAGGCCUCUUUCUGGAGAAAAAGCGUGGGACGAAGCCUGCCUCUGUGUAAAAUGUUUUCUGACUUCUCAGUCUUGCUUUCUACCCUGAAAUGCUCCCUCAUCCAACCAUUAACCAGAUGUGAUGCUGCUUAGUUUCCAAGGAAAGCUAAGUGCUGCCACCUGCUGAGGUCUGAGAAAAAGAGCGACUGGUCCAACAUCACUCAGAUGCCUUUACGCCUGAGCUGGGACAAGAACACCUAGUCUUUGGGUCUUUAACCUGGUGCCUUAUAACCACUACACAAAAUGAAUCUCAUUGUUGAAAUAAUCAUGGAUAAAAGACUCUUCUGGAAAGUUUCUACAUAUGCCUAAUCUCCAAGUUAUAAGAAGCGUAAACAUGCAAACAGACAUUUCAUUUUUGGAGCAGCAAGUCUUAAAAGUGCAUUUUAAAUUAUUUCAAACUUGGAUUUUCUUUUCCCAUUUAUCACAGACAGUUUGAAAUUAGUACAUUACAAGCAUCUUCUGGCACCAUUGUUGGUGAACUGGAAUUAUCAGGACUCUUUAAAUAAUGAGGGGAAAAUACAUUUCAAUGUUAGUGUUGUACUAGUGAAUUUUAAGUAAAGUACAAUAGAUAAAUGAAAUCUUUAUGCAACUGUUAAUAAUUUGGUCCCCAUAUUUAAAUCGUAAAGAAACAAAGACCAAAUUUGAAUCUGUCUAUUAUAAUUGCAAACAAUUAUCCGAUAUUAUUGGAGAUUGGACACCUCCUUCCUCUGAUUGAUUGGUUUCGGAUUUUUUUCUUCUUUGUAGCCACGUUGCAGGUGUCACUAAAGAGUCAAAAUCGUCCUCCUGUUUUUCAGGACUGGGGAAGGAAGCCCAUUAAACCAUCUCAUUCAAGCCACUAUUCAAUUGUGGUGGAUUUGUCCCCAAAUGACAACCGCAUGGCUCAGUAGAGCCAGUGCGCGGCCGGACGGAGCCGAAUGGCAGCAACAAGGCUCGAAGAGAGGGAAACACGGCAGCGCUGUUGCAGAGCCGCGCUCGGAGGGAGAAAACGCAAACGCCUCCUUUCCCGGCUGCUACAAGAGAGGCGGCUCACGGAGGUGGUGGUACCUUUUCU